This 219-nucleotide ribosomal RNA is filed under the name Triticum aestivum (bread wheat). Its description in RNAcentral is "partial small subunit ribosomal RNA". The record is from RNAcentral. Lineage: Eukaryota; Viridiplantae; Streptophyta; Magnoliopsida; Poales; Poaceae.
AUGCGUCGACACUGCCCACCACGCCGGCACGUCUACCCCUGCACGACCGGCUACACGCCGAUGACGCUCGAGUGCACCUUCUUGAUCAAGGCAAUGCGACGGCUCGAGCGGUUGGGGGUGGCACGACGGCUCGAUGCGGAACGGCGGCGGCGGCGGCUGGAACUUGUAGGGGCUGGGGAGGCUGAUUCGAAGGCGGGCGGUGAGGCGGGGGAACGGUGA